AUUGAACGCUGGCGGCAUGCCUUACACAUGCAAGUCGAACGGCAGCACGGGUGCUUGCACCUGGUGGCGAGUGGCGAACGGGUGAGUAAUACAUCGGAACAUGUCCUGUAGUGGGGGAUAGCCCGGCGGAAGCCGGAUUAAUACCGCAUACGAUCCACGGAUGAAAGCGGGGGACCUUCGGGCCUCGCGCUAUAGGGUUGGCCGAUGGCUGAUUAGCUAGUUGGUGGGGUAAAGGCCUACCAAGGCGACGAUCAGUAGCUGGUCUGAGAGGACGACCAGCCACACUGGGACUGAGACACGGCCCAGACUCCUACGGGAGGCAGCAGUGGGGAAUUUUGGACAAAGGGCGAAAGCCUGAUCCAGCAAUGCCGCGUGUGUGAAGAAGGCCUUCGGGUUGUAAAGCACUUUUGUCCGGAAAGAAAUCCUUGACUCUAAUACAGUCGGGGGAUGACGGUACCGGAAGAAUAAGCACCGGCUAACUACGUG
Molecule: ribosomal RNA, 486 nt
Filed under: uncultured bacterium
Lineage: Bacteria
Description: partial 16S ribosomal RNA
Rfam family: Bacterial small subunit ribosomal RNA
Source: RNAcentral